UACAUAGGUCCCGAGCGUUGUCCGGAUUUAUUGGGCGUAAAGCGAGCGCAGGUGGUUUAUUAAGUCUGGUGUAAAAGGCAGUGGCUCAACCAUUGUAUGCAUUGGAAACUGGUAGACUUGAGUGCAGGAGAGGAGAGUGGAAUUCCAUGUGUAGCGGUGAAAUGCGUAGAUAUAUGGAGGAACACCGGUGGCGAAAGCGGCUCUCUGGCCUGUAACUGACACUGAGGCUCGAAAGCGUAGGGAGCAAACAGG
RNAcentral lists this ribosomal RNA (252 nucleotides) under uncultured bacterium. RNAcentral describes it as "partial 16S ribosomal RNA". It matches the Rfam family "Bacterial small subunit ribosomal RNA", at positions 524 to 776 of the family's 1533-position model. The record is from RNAcentral.